This 544-nucleotide ribosomal RNA is filed under the name uncultured Glomeromycotina. RNAcentral describes it as "SSU rRNA". It matches the Rfam family "Eukaryotic small subunit ribosomal RNA", at positions 548 to 1094 of the family's 1831-position model. The record is from RNAcentral. Lineage: Eukaryota; Fungi; Glomeromycota.
UUGGAGGGCAGUCUGGUGCCAGCAGCCGCGGUAAUUCCAGCUCCAAUAGCGUAUAUUAAAGUUGUUGCAGUUAAAAAGCUCGUAGUUGAAUUUCGGGGUUAGUAGGUUGGUCAUGCCUCUGGUAUGUACUGAUCUCACUGAUUCCUCCCUCUUGACGAACUGUAAUGUCAUUAAUUUGGUGUUGCAGGAAAUCAGGACUGUUACUUUGAAAAAAUUAGAGUGUUUAAAGCAGGCUAAGGCUUGAAUACAUUAGCAUGGAAUAAUGAAAUAGGACGUUUGAACCUAUUUUGUUGGUUUCUAGGAUCGACGUAAUGAUUAAUAGGGAUAGUUGGGGGCAUUAGUAUUCAAUUGUCAGAGGUGAAAUUCUUGGAUUUAUUGAAGACUAACUACUGCGAAAGCAUUUGCCAAGGAUGUUUUCAUUAAUCAAGAACGAAAGUUAGGGGAUCGAAGACGAUCAGAUACCGUCGUAGUCUUAACCAUAAACUAUGCCGACUAGGGAUCGGAUGAUGUUAAUUUUUUAAUGACUCAUUCGGCGCCUUACGGG